AUGCACGCUGGCGGCGUGCUUAACACAUGCCAGUCGAACGGAAAGGCCCUGCUUUUGUGGGGUGCUCGAGUGGCGAACGGGUGAGUAACACGUGAGUAACCUGCCCUUGACUUUGGGAUAACUUCGGGAAACUGGGGCUAAUACCGGAUAGGAGCUCCUGCUGCAUGGUGGGGGUUGGAAAGUUUCGGCGGUUGGGGAUGGACUCGCGGCUUAUCAGCUUGUUGGUGGGGUAGUGGCUUACCAAGGCUUUGACGGGUAGCCGGCCUGAGAGGGUGACCGGCCACAUUGGGACUGAGAUACGGCCCAGACUCCUACGGGAGGCAGCAGUGGGGAAUAUUGCACAAUGGGCGGAAGCCUGAUGCAGCAACGCCGCGUGCGGGAUGACGGCCUUCGGGUUGUAAACCGCUUUCGCCUGUGACGAAGCGUGAGUGACGGUAAUGGGUAAAGAAGCACCGGCUAACUACGUG
This 467-nucleotide ribosomal RNA is filed under the name uncultured bacterium. RNAcentral describes it as "partial 16S ribosomal RNA". It matches the Rfam family "Bacterial small subunit ribosomal RNA", at positions 29 to 507 of the family's 1533-position model. The record is from RNAcentral.